GUGCUUGCUUUGGCAGCACAUCUACUUUUAAAAUUGGAAUGAUACAGAGAAGAUUAGCAUGGUCCCUGUGCAAGGAUGACACACGAAACUUGUAAAAGGUCCACAAAAAA
Molecule: small nuclear RNA, 110 nt
Filed under: Papio anubis (olive baboon)
Lineage: Eukaryota; Metazoa; Chordata; Mammalia; Primates; Cercopithecidae
Source: RNAcentral